Pristis pectinata (smalltooth sawfish) is the source of this 211-nucleotide long non-coding RNA. RefSeq lists it as uncharacterized. The transcript is spliced from 3 exons. The record is from RefSeq and is a predicted model, not a curated record. NCBI's taxonomy places the organism in Eukaryota, Metazoa, Chordata, Chondrichthyes, Rhinopristiformes, Pristidae.
AGUGGAAAUCGUAAAGGAGAAUCACCAUAUGCUAGAGGAGCACCUUGUACCUAUUGUGGUCCAGAUUUUUGCAGGAACAAAUUGUGCAGUGAUCCAGAUCGUGAAGUAAUCAAUCAAUAUCCUCAAUGGAAACCAGAUUUUGGGUCUGCCUUCACUUUGUUGUCAAACUACCUACUGCUACUAAUAUCUAUUACUAUAAUAUACAUUUUAU